This 519-nucleotide small RNA is filed under the name Pongo abelii (Sumatran orangutan). RNAcentral describes it as "retained intron". Lineage: Eukaryota; Metazoa; Chordata; Mammalia; Primates; Hominidae. The record is from RNAcentral.
CCAGCUGGUUCAGGCCACGUGCUGAGCACCUGUGCUAACCCUGUUACCUCUGUUCUUCUGGCAGGGACUGGUGGUGGCCGUCCUCUACUGCUUCCUCAACGGGGAGGUGCAGCUGGAGGUUCAGAAGAAGUGGCAGCAAUGGCACCUCCGUGAGUUCCCACUGCACCCUGUGGCCUCCUUCAGCAACAGCACCAAGGCCAGCCACUUGGAGCAGAGCCAGGGCACCUGCAGGACCAGCAUCAUCUGAGAGGCUGGAGCAGGAUCACCCACGGACAGGGACCAAGAGAGGUCCUGAGAAGGCUGGGCAAUGCUGCGGGACAGCCAGUCUUCCCAGCAGACACCCUAUGCCCUCCUUCAGCUGAAAAUGCCCCUCCCCAGGCCUUGGACUCUUCCGAAGGGAUGUGGGGCACUGUGGGGCAGGACAAGGGCCUGGGAUUUGGUUUGUUUGCUCUUCUGGGAAGAGAAGUUCAGGGGUCCCAGAAAGGGACAGGGAAAUAAAUGGUGCCUGGGAUGAGAUUC